RNAcentral lists this ribosomal RNA (464 nucleotides) under uncultured bacterium. RNAcentral describes it as "partial 16S ribosomal RNA". It matches the Rfam family "Bacterial small subunit ribosomal RNA", at positions 29 to 507 of the family's 1533-position model. The record is from RNAcentral.
ACGAACGCUGGCGGCGUGCUUAACACAUGCAAGUCGAACGGAAAGGCCCUGCUUGCAGGGUACUCGAGUGGCGAACGGGUGAGUAACACGUGGGUGAUCUGCCCUGCACUUCGGGAUAAGCCUGGGAAACUGGGUCUAAUACCGGAUAGGAGCCAUUUUUAGUGUGAUGGUUGGAAAGUUUUUUCGGUGUAGGAUGAGCUCGCGGCCUAUCAGCUUGUUGGUGGGGUAAUGGCCUACCAAGGCGGCGACGGGUAGCCGGCCUGAGAGGGUGGACGGCCACAUUGGGACUGAGAUACGGCCCAGACUCCUACGGGAGGCAGCAGUGGGGAAUAUUGAACAAUGGGCGCAAGCCGGAUGCAGCGACGCCGCGUGGGGGAUGACGGCCUUCGGGUUGUAAACUCCUUUCGCUAGGGACGAAGCUUUUUGUGACGGUACCUAGAUAAGAAGCACCGGCUAACUACGUG